Molecule: ribosomal RNA, 680 nt
Filed under: uncultured bacterium
Lineage: Bacteria
Description: bacterial SSU rRNA
Rfam family: Bacterial small subunit ribosomal RNA
Source: RNAcentral
GGCGGACGGGUGAGUAAUGCCUAGGAAUCUGCCUGGUAGUGGGGAUAACGUUCGGAAACGGACGCUAAUACCGCAUACGUCCUACGGGAGAAAGCAGGGGACCUUCGGGCCCUUGCGCUAUCAGAUGAGCCUAGGUCGGAUUAGCUAGUUGGUGGGGUAAUGGCUCACCAAGGCGACGAUCCGUAACUGGUCUGAGAGGAUGAUCAGUCACACUGGAACUGAGACACGGUCCAGACUCCUACGGGAGGCAGCAGUGGGGAAUAUUGGACAAUGGGCGAAAGCCUGAUCCAGCCAUGCCGCGUGUGUGAAGAAGGUCUUCGGAUUGUAAAGCACUUUAAGUUGGGAGGAAGGGUUGUAGAUUAAUACUCUGCAAUUUUGACGUUACCGACAGAAUAAGCACCGGCUAACUCUGUGCCAGCAGCCGCGGUAAUACAGAGGGUGCAAGCGUUAAUCGGAAUUACUGGGCGUAAAGCGCGCGUAGGUGGUUAGUUAAGUUGGAUGUGAAAUCCCCGGGCUCAACCUGGGAACUGCAUUCAAAACUGACUGACUAGAGUAUGGUAGAGGGUGGUGGAAUUUCCUGUGUAGCGGUGAAAUGCGUAGAUAUAGGAAGGAACACCAGUGGCGAAGGCGACCACCUGGACUGAUACUGACACUGAGGUGCGAAAGCGUGGGGAGCAAAC